This 253-nucleotide ribosomal RNA is filed under the name uncultured bacterium. Its description in RNAcentral is "partial 16S ribosomal RNA". It matches the Rfam family "Bacterial small subunit ribosomal RNA", at positions 524 to 776 of the family's 1533-position model. The record is from RNAcentral.
GACGUAGGUGGCAAACGUUAUCCGGAAUUAUUGGGCGUAAAGGGGGCGUAGGGGGUGAGGAAAGUCGGAUGUGAAAGCUCCGAGCUCAACUCGGAAAUGGCAUUGGAAACUACCUUGCUCGAGGGUUUGAGGGGGGACUGGAAUACUUGGUGUAGCAGUGAAAUGCGUAGAUAUCAAGUAGAACACCAGUGGCGAAGGCGAGUCCCUGGAAAACUCCUGACACUGAGGCACGAAAGCUAGGGGAGCAAACAGG